Molecule: non-coding RNA, 5550 nt
Organism: Podarcis lilfordi (Lilford's wall lizard)
Lineage: Eukaryota; Metazoa; Chordata; Lepidosauria; Squamata; Lacertidae
Source: the annotation of a GenBank genome assembly
GUGAGGAGCGAUUGCUUCAAAAAACCAGCAAUGGCCUGUGUGCUGCUGGAUGGAAGCAUUAAUACCAAGAUAUUGCACGUCCAUUGAAGAAAACUCACUAAACCAAAUGAGGGUUAAAAAAAAUUAAGGCUGCAGUGUUUAAAGCAUUAACUUACACAUGUCUACACAGAAGUCCUAUGGAGUCCAAUGAGAUUUACUCCCAGGUAAGUGGGUAUAGAAUUGUAGUUGUGAUUGUGGCUGAAAUUAAUCUAUUGUAAAAGAAUUAGUUGAUUACAAAGAUGCCUGGAUUAAACAGGCAAUUAUUGGCAAUACAAGUACGUAUAAAAAAUAGUGGCUGGCAAAAUGCUAUCUUAAAAAAGUCAUUGGGGUGAGAGUGACUGGUGAAUGACUUUUGUAAGAAGGUCGCUGCUCUGACAAAGACACAUAAUCUAAAAACAUUUUGGUUUUUCUUUAGAACUAUUCUUUUCUCUUUUGAAAAUUUCUACAGAUUUAAUCAACCAAUGGAUUGAAUAAAAUGUAUACAAUUAAUUGACAAAGAUUUCUUUAGUUGGGUGAAAGCCUUACAAUGAUUUCUUUUCUUUUCUCCCUUUCUUACAUGGUGAGAACAUGCUUUACACAUAUAUGUGUAAUUUCUGAUGUCUCUGUAAGAAAGAAAGGUCUCUGCCCAGGUUCCUAAGGAGUCACUGCCCCAAAGAAUAGGCCAGGGAUGGGGAACUGGUGUGUCUCCAGAUGUUGUUGAACUAUCUCUCAUCUGCCCCAGAAAGCAUGAGCCUUGGCCCGGGAUUGUGGGAGUUGUAGUUCAGCAACAUCUGGGGGACCAAAGGUUCCUCACACCAGAGCUGGAUGGACUAGCGGUUUCUGUAGAUUUACAAGUUCAGUAUGGAAAGCCUGAGUCUUAGAAGAACCGGAUGGUGGUAAACAAUAGUUAAAAGUGUGGAGCCUAGAUCCUUGGGGGAAUUUAACAUAUUGUGGUUUGUGUUCAUUUCAUUGGUUAGAAGUUUCCAUUGUUAAGUCGGAAUGUUUUGGAAUGAAAGGAAGUCUAGAGCCAACAUAAACAAACCCUUCAAAUAACUUGGGGUAAGGGAACUGCUGCCAUCCCCCCGCUAGCAGAGAUGGAGUAGAGCUGUAUGAAUUUUGUAGCAUCAUGGUUAGGAAGCACAGGAAGUUGCCUUAUACUGAGUUAGAUCACUGGUACACCUAGCUGAGAAUUGGCCACACUGACUGGUAGCAGCUAUCUAGGGUUUUUUUUGGACAAGAAACAUUCCCAGGCCUGCUUAGAGAUACCACUGAGCUCUGGCUAUGUCAGUUUGCAUUUCUUGGUACAAAACGUAUCGAUCCGAUGUGUAGAGCUUUUUCGUAUUCUACUUAAUUCAAGACGGUUCUGGAAGCUUCUCUGUGUGAAAGAAACAAGCAACCAGGAGGUUCAUGAUCUUUGGGUUAUUCCUUCAGAGAAGCUAAGUACAAUUGGCUUAAACUGGUUCUCUUCUCUCUUCUGUCAAGGUCAUGCUAUAAUAAGAGGCCAGAAGGAGCCUGGGUUUUCUCUCUCUUUUCCUUCUGGUGUGGUGUUCUGUACAUAGUAUGCUUAGUGUUAAGGUUUAGACUUAAUUAUAAGUUAUUGUAAAUUUAAAUCUGCAGCAACUGGAUUUCUUAUGGACAGUGCCAAUCCUGAGUGUAUUGGAUUUGUGACCAUUAUGCUCAUUUGCCUUCCGUAGCAGUAAAGCUCUGCUGAAUGAAAUACAAUUGCCUCUGGUCUAUUUUUCGGGAGUCCUGCAACGUGUUUAAGUUUCUACUCUGCUCACUAUACGUCGGAAUCUACUCUGGAUCAAUAGAGUAGAAUUUCAGUGACAGGCUAUUCCCCACAGGGCGUAGAAAGAGGUACAUGUUACCACCACAGCAGGAUCAGGAACCAGUACUGAAGCCUACUGAUUUCUUUGAAAUAUCCCUCUACUGUUCCCAGGUUCCUCUCUCCUUGCUGGAUAUGGUUGGAGAGAGCGGAUGAGCAGAGUCUGCACAGCACUUGGUAAGCACUACAGCGGACUCCAGUGGCCACUUGGCGCAGCUGCAAGCACCUUCCGAAAGUGUGCUGAUGCAACCAACACACGUUGACAAAAGUCUGUUCCGGUGUUACGUGUUUCACUUACGCCAUAAAAAGGAAAGGCCAAAUUGAAAUUAUGUGCAUAUACAGUUUAGCAUGUACCGUUUCCUGCCUAAGCUGUUGCCUCAAUAAUGGGCAGCAAAUAAACACAUCCUACUCAAGAGUACACCUAUUGAAACGAAUGGGCUCUUAUUAAUGUAAGGGAACUGACUUAUUAAUGCCAGUCUUCUCUGGUAGAACUGCAUUUGAGUCCUACCCUUGGCGGCAGAUUCAAUUAAUGAGUCCCACUAGCGGAAAGUCACAUGAAGAAUUCUGCUAGCGUACUGGGGCUCACCCCCCCAAGCCCAAAUGGCUCAGAGUAGUUGAGAGAACCCCUCCAGAACAGGGUGUAGGGAGGGGGAGAGAUGUUCUAUUCCAUCUGGCAAGCAGAAAUUAUGGCACUGACAGAAUGAUUGCCAUAACGCUAAAUGUUUCGUUGAUUCCUCAAUUAAAAAUCAGUAAUUUUGAUUGAAAAUACAUUUCUAAUUAAACAGGCUUUUUUUUUUUUUUUUGGUUAAAAUUACUAUUUCUUUUCUUUUUUUUACUAUUUUGCUUAAAUUUCUAUUCAAUUGAAAAGUAAAUUCUAAAUUACUUUCUAUUAUUUUAAUAAGCAGCAUUUAAAAAACAAACGAAACUACUCUUAGACAAGAUACACGGUCCCCAUUUAAAAUGGCAUUAUACUGUGACAUGUGCAUACAUAUGUUGUGAACAACUGCUCAUACAUUGUGAACUGCCCUGACACCUGCGGGUAUAGCGGAGUAUAAAUAAUAAAGUUGCGGGGGGAAAUAUUGGGACUUUUGUUGAUUAACAUGAAAAUACCUGCUGAUUUACAGUUCCAGCCCUUAUAGUGUCUACACUGAAUGAAGUCCUGUUGAAUUCAGUGGGUCUUGCUUCCAGAAAAGGAUUGCAGCCUAAAUUGAUCAACUGAAUUAAAACUCAUUCCAUUACCCAGCUAAAUGCCAAAGUUAGGCAAAUUACAUCCCCUCGUUUAGAAAUAAAUCCUUGCGUAAGGAAGGAGCUGGUUCGAUGUCCAUGUAGGAUUUAUAUAACUCAUUUCAGGCGUUCAAAAGUACUUCAUAUAUGUUAGCUUAGUAAUCCCUACAGGAACUCUGCAAGGCACGUCACCAAAUGGAUCUUAAUUCCUGCCUUCAGGCUUCCCACAGGUUAUCGGUUAUGCAUGAGGGUUUUACACUGCUUCUUGGUAGGGCUUUAAACACAAGCCAGUAGCAGGAUUUAUUUUAGUCCCAAGGAAGGUAUGCAAGCAAGGGCCUUAAGCAGGGGUAGGCAACCUAAGGCCCGUGAGCCAGAUGCAGCCCAGUCGCCUUCUCAAUCUGGCCCGCGGACGGUUCGGGAAUCAGUGUGUUUUUACAUGAGUAGAAUGUGUCCUUUUAUUUAAAAUGCAUCUCUGGGUUAUUUUUGGGGCCUGCCUGGUGGUUUUACACGAGUAGAAUGUGUCCUUUUAUUUAAAAUGCAUCUCUGGGUUAUUUGUGGGGCAUAGGAAUUCGUUCAUUCCCCACCCCGACAAAAUAUAGUCCAGCCCACCACAUAGUCUGAGAGACGCUGGACUGGCCCACGGCUGAGAAAGGUUGCUGACCCCUGGUCUUAAAGAGUACAGAGAGUUCACUGUGCCCGUGUACAACAUGGUAGGCCAAUGUUAUUUUCACAGUAUUGUGGCUGGGGAAGAGAAUCUAGCUAAUUAAAGAGAUAUCUCUGGCUGAGACGAGAUUUGAACCAGGGACCAGCUUAAUGCAAAACAGAGCAGUUGCAAGCAAAUUCAACAGCAACGACAACUUGCCAUGCUCUUGGAUCUGCAAGCAUUUUAAGAGUCUUAAAAGUAGCAGAGACUUGAGUCCACGUGUAAAAUUGCCACCCAAACUGCGCACGUGUUAACUAGAAGUCUACCUCGGUGCAAGAUUGCCAUUUUCCCUUACCUCCUGCAACUGAGGAGCAAUUUUAUCCAACAUCUGCUCACAGGAAGGCCUUGGAAGAGAAGACGACCUCCUUUCCUUCACCACCAUACUGAGCAAAGCAGGUAGGUUCUCUGAGUUUGUUUGUUUUUUGGCAGGGAGGCUUCUCACAGGCCUGUUGGUGAACCAGCCUCCCCCCCCCCCCCAGUUGUCUUGCCUCUUUAAAAUAUAUUUAAAAAAUAGCAGCUCUGCCUUGCAUUACAGAGGUAGGCCCGAAUCCAAAGGAAAGCCAAUUGCAUAAGAAGGACUUAAGUUAGUAGCAACGAAUGGAUGGAAUUACUACACUAAGAUUGGCCAUCCUCCUUUGCAGAGGACAGUCCUGUUCUCCCCUCUAUCUGAAGGUGUCCUCUGUUCGUGGGUUGCUCUGGACAAGUCUGGUUUAAAGAUAAGGAACCAAGAUGAUAAGAAUUUUUUAAAAAGCAUGGUAAAUGUUUAUUAUGUAUUUGCAAAAGUAUUGUAAACAGGUUAAUACAUUUAAACAGGAUUUUAAGAACACGUGUAAUUUCAGAAUAUAGGAAAUUUGAGGCAAAACCCCCAAUUUGGAGUAGAAAUGACAUGCAGUUGAAAAGGGAAUUUAAGGAACAAGGGGAGGGAAGUCACAGGAGAAUCCCAUUUUAUGGAUUUGAUAUUGUUGUUGUGUAUAAUUUUCUUUGUUUGUGGUUGUUUGUUGUUUGUUAUUUUUGUUGAAAAAGAAAGAAAGAAAGAAAGAAAGAAAGAAAGAAAGAAAGAAAGAAAGAAAGAAAAGGAAGCAUAAAAAUAUAGAGGAGCCUGGAGCAGCACCCUGCCAGCAGACUGAGCAGGCAUCCAAGCCACUUGGUGUUUUCCCCUCUUGUUGUUGGUUUAGUCGUUUAGUCGUGUCCGACUCUUCGUGACUCCAUGGACCAGAGCAUGCCAGGUACUCCUGUCUUCCACGGCCUCCCGCAGUUUGGUUAAACUCAUGUUGGUAGCUUCGAGAACACUGUCCAGCCAUCUUGUCCCCUGUCGUCCCCUUCUCCUUGUGCCCUCCAUCUUUCCCAACAUCAGGGUCUUUUCCAGGGAGUCUUCUCUUCUCAUGAGGUGGCCAAAGUAUUCCCCCCCCAUGACAAUGUAUUUCUAUUUAAAUUACAACGUGCAGUUGCAUCUAUUAAUGUACAUUACCAUAUACAUAGGACGCGGGUGGCGCUGUGGUCUAAAUCACUGAGCCUCUUGGGCUUGCCGGUCAGAAGGUCGGCGGUUUGAAUCCACGCAAUGGAGUGAGCUCCUGUUGCUCAGUCCCAGCUCCUGCCAACCUAGCAGUUCGAAAGCACGCCAAAAAAAGUACAAGUAGAUAAAUAGGUACCACUCUGGCGGGAAGGUAAAAAACAGCAUUUCCGUGCACUGCUCUGGUUUCGGUGUUCCGUUGAGCCAGAAGCGGCUUAGUCAUGCUGGCCACAUGACUCGGAAAAACUGUCUACGGACAAGUGCUGGCUC